This 356-nucleotide RNase P RNA is filed under the name Thiopseudomonas denitrificans. RNAcentral describes it as "Bacterial RNase P class A". It matches the Rfam family "Bacterial RNase P class A". From Rfam's summary of the family: Ribonuclease P (RNase P) is a ubiquitous endoribonuclease, found in archaea, bacteria and eukarya as well as chloroplasts and mitochondria. Its best characterised activity is the generation of mature 5'-ends of tRNAs by cleaving the 5'-leader elements of precursor-tRNAs. Cellular RNase Ps are ribonucleoproteins. Lineage: Bacteria; Pseudomonadati; Pseudomonadota; Gammaproteobacteria; Pseudomonadales; Pseudomonadaceae. The record is from Rfam by way of RNAcentral.
AGAGCCGGCCGGACAGUCGCUGCUUUCUGGCUACGGCCGGAAAGGGGAGGAAAGUCCGGGCUCCGCAGGGCAAGACGCCAGGUAACACCUGGGAGGCGCAAGCCUACGGAAAGUGCCACAGAAAAUAACCGCCUAAGCGCGCAAGCGCCGGUAAGGGUGAAAAGGUGCGGUAAGAGCGCACCGCGCGGCUGGUAACAGUCCGUGGCCAGGCAAACCCCGUCGGGAGCAAGACCAAAUAGGAAUCCGUUGGCGUGGCCCGCGCUGGAUUCGGGUAGGUUGCUUGAGGUCGUCAGUGAUGGCGAUCCCAGAUGAAUGACUGUCCACGACAGAACCCGGCUUACAGGCUGGCUCUUGCC